Molecule: ribosomal RNA, 218 nt
Filed under: Salmonella enterica subsp. enterica serovar Choleraesuis
Lineage: Bacteria; Pseudomonadati; Pseudomonadota; Gammaproteobacteria; Enterobacterales; Enterobacteriaceae
Description: partial 16S ribosomal RNA
Rfam family: Bacterial small subunit ribosomal RNA
Source: RNAcentral
GGAAUCGCUAGUAAUCGUGGAUCAGAAUGCCACGGUGAAUACGUUCCCGGGCCUUGUACACACCGCCCGUCACACCAUGGGAGUGGGUUGCAAAAGAAGUAGGUAGCUUAACCUUCGGGAGAGCGCUUACCACUUUGUGAUUCAUGACUGGGGUGAAGUCGUAACAAGGUAACCGUAGGGGAACCUGCGGUUGGAUCACCUCCUUACCUUAAAGAAGC